Molecule: long non-coding RNA, 1066 nt
Organism: Anas platyrhynchos (mallard)
Lineage: Eukaryota; Metazoa; Chordata; Aves; Anseriformes; Anatidae
Source: RefSeq, a predicted model, not a curated record
AGGACCACUCCUGCGUAUCCACUGGAGCCUAUGCGAGUGCCUGUGGAUCUGUGGUCUCUGCCCAGCUUGGGGUAUGGAGGCAUGGAGGCCUCAACAUGGAGCUGAAAGCAUCAAACCUAAGGGUGUCCUCUGCCAUUCUGGAGGGGCAGUUGCUGGUCUGCCCAGCCUUCUAUGAUUCUAAACCAAAUGACAGCAAAGCUCAAGAAGAGUUCAGAGAAAAUGAUCCUGACAACCUGCUUUCCAAGGGCCUUGAAAAUUUUGCUUCUGGCUUGUUACUAACAAUGGUAAUAUAGUAUCACUUUGAUACAACACCACUUCUAGUCUCCCUCAAACAUGGCUUUGCUAAUCAUUGUAAUCUUCUCCACAUGAGAAAUUUUUGGCAUUUUAUGGGAGUCAGCUGAGAAUUUUCCUGGACUUGAACCUUAAAGAUUUUGCUGAAUAUUUUAAUCUGUGGACUGUGAAUGACUUUAUAAUACAGUUUUCCUUUCAUUUUGUUUUGUUUUGUUUCUAUUUAAAAUGUUGUUAGUUUCUAGUGUGUUCUAAUGUGUUUCACGUGUGCACAUCUAUAUUUAUUUAUAAAUGUAUGAAAAAAAAAGUCUAUCUAUCAAAUCUAUCAAUAUCUCAAAAUCUAUCUAUCAAAGAUUUCACUUCAUACUAUGUUCUGUACUGAGAGUCACUUCACAGAAUCUAUGGCUGUAUUUUCUGCCACAGAAAAAUAAGAAUAUGCAAAAUAAAGUAGAAAUACAACCUGACCUUUUACUUCAUAGGCUUAAACCUGAAAUUCUAACAUUCCUUCUAAACAUAAUCUUUUCAAGCUUCCAGUACAUUUUGUCAGGCAUCUGGCAUUUUACAUUACUUUACAUCAUUAAACACUCUUUGUAAACAAAGUAACCAUCAAAUAUCUCUGUGAGAGGACAUUUGGCUUAAACAUUGGAGUUCUCUGACAAGCUAAAAGGAGUAAAAGGAAUUGUGAACAUGAACUGUGAUGGAAGGAUUUAAGUUGUCAAAUUUCAUGUGCGUGAAAUAUAGCUUAAGCUGAUGGGUUUGGAUAGCUACUUUUUACAAA